This 2332-nucleotide ribosomal RNA is filed under the name Escherichia coli. RNAcentral describes it as "partial 23S ribosomal RNA". It matches the Rfam family "Bacterial large subunit ribosomal RNA", at positions 604 to 2915 of the family's 2925-position model. Lineage: Bacteria; Pseudomonadati; Pseudomonadota; Gammaproteobacteria; Enterobacterales; Enterobacteriaceae. The record is from RNAcentral.
CCUUUUGUAUAAUGGGUCAGCGACUUAUAUUCUGUAGCAAGGUUAACCGAAUAGGGGAGCCGAAGGGAAACCGAGUCUUAACUGGGCGUUAAGUUGCAGGGUAUAGACCCGAAACCCGGUGAUCUAGCCAUGGGCAGGUUGAAGGUUGGGUAACACUAACUGGAGGACCGAACCGACUAAUGUUGAAAAAUUAGCGGAUGACUUGUGGCUGGGGGUGAAAGGCCAAUCAAACCGGGAGAUAGCUGGUUCUCCCCGAAAGCUAUUUAGGUAGCGCCUCGUGAAUUCAUCUCCGGGGGUAGAGCACUGUUUCGGCAAGGGGGUCAUCCCGACUUACCAACCCGAUGCAAACUGCGAAUACCGGAGAAUGUUAUCACGGGAGACACACGGCGGGUGCUAACGUCCGUCGUGAAGAGGGAAACAACCCAGACCGCCAGCUAAGGUCCCAAAGUCAUGGUUAAGUGGGAAACGAUGUGGGAAGGCCCAGACAGCCAGGAUGUUGGCUUAGAAGCAGCCAUCAUUUAAAGAAAGCGUAAUAGCUCACUGGUCGAGUCGGCCUGCGCGGAAGAUGUAACGGGGCUAAACCAUGCACCGAAGCUGCGGCAGCGACGCUGAUGCGUUGUUGGGUAGGGGAGCGUUCUGUAAGCCUGCGAAGGUGUGCUGUGAGGCAUGCUGGAGGUAUCAGAAGUGCGAAUGCUGACAUAAGUAACGAUAAAGCGGGUGAAAAGCCCGCUCGCCGGAAGACCAAGGGUUCCUGUCCAACGUUAAUCGGGGCAGGGUGAGUCGACCCCUAAGGCGAGGCCGAAAGGCGUAGUCGAUGGGAAACAGGUUAAUAUUCCUGUACUUGGUGUUACUGCGAAGGGGGGACGGAGAAGGCUAUGUUGGCCGGGCGACGGUUGUCCCGGUUUAAGCGUGUAGGCUGGUUUUCCAGGCAAAUCCGGAAAAUCAAGGCUGAGGCGUGAUGACGAGGCACUGCGGUGCUGAAGCAACAAAUGCCCUGCUUCCAGGAAAAGCCUCUAAGCAUCAGGUAACAUCAAAUCGUACCCCAAACCGACACAGGUGGUCAGGUAGAGAAUACCAAGGCGCUUGAGAGAACUCGGGUGAAGGAACUAGGCAAAAUGGUGCCGUAACUUCGGGAGAAGGCACGCUGAUAUGUAGGUGAAGUCCCUCGCGGAUGGAGCUGAAAUCAGUCGAAGAUACCAGCUGGCUGCAACUGUUUAUUAAAAACACAGCACUGUGCAAACACGAAAGUGGACGUAUACGGUGUGACGCCUGCCCGGUGCCGGAAGGUUAAUUGAUGGGGUUAGCGCAAGCGAAGCUCUUGAUCGAAGCCCCGGUAAACGGCGGCCGUAACUAUAACGGUCCUAAGGUAGCGAAAUUCCUUGUCGGGUAAGUUCCGACCUGCACGAAUGGCGUAAUGAUGGCCAGGCUGUCUCCACCCGAGACUCAGUGAAAUUGAACUCGCUGUGAAGAUGCAGUGUACCCGCGGCAAGACGGAAAGACCCCGUGAACCUUUACUAUAGCUUGACACUGAACAUUGAGCCUUGAUGUGUAGGAUAGGUGGGAGGCUUUGAAGUGUGGACGCCAGUCUGCAUGGAGCCGACCUUGAAAUACCACCCUUUAAUGUUUGAUGUUCUAACGUUGACCCGUAAUCCGGGUUGCGGACAGUGUCUGGUGGGUAGUUUGACUGGGGCGGUCUCCUCCUAAAGAGUAACGGAGGAGCACGAAGGUUGGCUAAUCCUGGUCGGACAUCAGGAGGUUAGUGCAAUGGCAUAAGCCAGCUUGACUGCGAGCGUGACGGCGCGAGCAGGUGCGAAAGCAGGUCAUAGUGAUCCGGUGGUUCUGAAUGGAAGGGCCAUCGCUCAACGGAUAAAAGGUACUCCGGGGAUAACAGGCUGAUACCGCCCAAGAGUUCAUAUCGACGGCGGUGUUUGGCACCUCGAUGUCGGCUCAUCACAUCCUGGGGCUGAAGUAGGUCCCAAGGGUAUGGCUGUUCGCCAUUUAAAGUGGUACGCGAGCUGGGUUUAGAACGUCGUGAGACAGUUCGGUCCCUAUCUGCCGUGGGCGCUGGAGAACUGAGGGGGGCUGCUCCUAGUACGAGAGGACCGGAGUGGACGCAUCACUGGUGUUCGGGUUGUCAUGCCAAUGGCACUGCCCGGUAGCUAAAUGCGGAAGAGAUAAGUGCUGAAAGCAUCUAAGCACGAAACUUGCCCCGAGAUGAGUUCUCCCUGACUCCUUGAGAGUCCUGAAGGAACGUUGAAGACGACGACGUUGAUAGGCCGGGUGUGUAAGCGCAGCGAUGCGUUGAGCUAACCGGUACUAAUGAACCGUGAGG